GAUAUAGCUUCAUUGGUAGAGUGUUUGCUUUCCAUGCACAAGACCCUGUGUUCAAUCCCCAGCAUGACA
RNAcentral lists this transfer RNA (69 nucleotides) under Marmota monax (woodchuck). RNAcentral describes it as "tRNA.Gly". The record is from RNAcentral. Lineage: Eukaryota; Metazoa; Chordata; Mammalia; Rodentia; Sciuridae.